GAUGAAGAACGUAGCGAAACGCGAUAUGUAAUGUGAAUUGCAGAAUUCAGUGAAUCAUCGAAUCUUUGAACGCACAUGGCGCCUUCCAGUAUCCUGGGAGGCAUGCCUGUCCGAGCGUCGUUUCAACCCUCGAGCCCUCGUGGCCCGGCGUUGGGGAUCUGCCACGGCAGGCCCCGAAAUACAGUGGCGGACCCGUUAGGCCCUUCCUUUGCGUAGUAGCAUCAGCCUCGCAUCGGGAGCCGGCGGGCUCUCCUGCCUCUAAACCCCCCAACAAGCCCGCUCCGGCGGAACCAAGGUUGACCUCGGAUCAGGUAGGAAUACCCGCUGAACUUAAGCAUAUCAAUAAGCGGAGGA
This 354-nucleotide unclassified non-coding RNA is filed under the name soil metagenome. Its description in RNAcentral is "partial contains 5.8S ribosomal RNA, internal transcribed spacer 2, and large subunit ribosomal RNA". The stretch from base 1 to 120 matches the Rfam family "5.8S ribosomal RNA", at positions 35 to 154 of the family's 154-position model. The record is from RNAcentral.